GUCCCUGUAGCGCAACGAAACGCGAGUUGAACUUCUAAUCCAAAAGACGUGAGUUCGAAUCUCACCUGGGAUG
Molecule: non-coding RNA, 73 nt
Organism: Trichonephila inaurata madagascariensis
Lineage: Eukaryota; Metazoa; Arthropoda; Arachnida; Araneae; Nephilidae
Source: the annotation of a GenBank genome assembly